This 60-nucleotide small nuclear RNA is filed under the name Cervus elaphus hippelaphus. Lineage: Eukaryota; Metazoa; Chordata; Mammalia; Artiodactyla; Cervidae. The record is from RNAcentral.
AGCUUUGCGCAGUGACAGUAUUGUAGUCAAUGAGGUUUUAGUGAUUAUUGCUAAUUGAAA